Molecule: non-coding RNA, 72 nt
Organism: Rattus norvegicus (Norway rat)
Lineage: Eukaryota; Metazoa; Chordata; Mammalia; Rodentia; Muridae
Source: Rfam
GGUCUCAUGGUGUAAUGGUUAGCACUCUGGACUUUGAAUCCAGCGAUCCGAGUUCGAGUCUCGGUGAGGCCU